Molecule: ribosomal RNA, 253 nt
Filed under: uncultured bacterium
Lineage: Bacteria
Description: partial 16S ribosomal RNA
Rfam family: Bacterial small subunit ribosomal RNA
Source: RNAcentral
UACGUAGGUAGCAAGCGUUAUCCGGAUUUACUGGGUGUAAAGGGCGUGUAGGCGGGGACGCAAGUCAGAUGUGAAAACCACGGGCUCAACCUGUGGCCUGCAUUUGAAACUGUGUUUCUUGAGUACUGGAGAGGCAGACGGAAUUCCUAGUGUAGCGGUGAAAUGCGUAGAUAUUAGGAGGAACACCAGUGGCGAAGGCGGUCUGCUGGACAGCAACUGACGCUGAGGCGCGAAAGCGUGGGGAGCAAACAGG